ACUCCUACGGGAGGCAGCAGUGGGGAAUCUUGCGCAAUGGGCGAAAGCCUGACGCAGCAACGCCGCGUGGAGGAUGAAGGCCCUUGGGUUGUAAACUCCUGUCGGCUGGGAAGAAAUCGUUCGCGGCUAAUACCCGCGGACGUUGACUGUACCAGCAAAGGAAGCCCCGGCUAACUCUGUGCCAGCAGCCGCGGUAAU
RNAcentral lists this ribosomal RNA (198 nucleotides) under uncultured Bacillota bacterium. RNAcentral describes it as "uncultured Firmicutes bacterium partial 16S ribosomal RNA". It matches the Rfam family "Bacterial small subunit ribosomal RNA", at positions 335 to 524 of the family's 1533-position model. Lineage: Bacteria; Bacillati; Bacillota. The record is from RNAcentral.